GUUUUGAUUUAAUAUUUCUAAUUGGUAGAAAUAUUAUUUUAAUUACACAUGAAACCAACAACAACAAUAAGGAUGAUUAAAUUUAUUUAUGCAUUUUAAUUUGAUUAUGAUGCAUGAUGGAUGGUUAUGGACUAAAGACCAAUGCGAUUGCUCUUUAUAUGGUUGAAUGUUUGUAUAUUCAUAAAUAGGGACUGUGUUCCCUGCCUUCUCUUAUAUUCUGUGUUGUAAAUUCUUUUCUCAUCUUACUCCCCUCGAAUGAAACUCGGGGUUUCAAUUUCUGAAAUAUGUAAACGUUAUAUAGUUUUUAGAAAGAGUAGAUAAGAAAAUUAUUUAUGAAUGUAAGCAGAAAGAGGAGCUGAUGAAUAUACUUCAAGGAGCUGCUAAGAAGACUUGUGAAGUCCUACAAUGCUACUACCUAGGUUUUUGACCCUAUAAUUUUCUCAAAUGGCUCGAGAAAAUUAUUUAGUAAAGUCCAUAAUCAUCCAAUUAGAAAUGCAUGCUAAGGGUGUAUGUUAUAUAUAUGUGAUGUAUGAUAUUGCUAGCAUGUUAAUUAAUGAGAUCUAAAAAUUGGCAUAGACCCAAAAUCCCUCAUUCAAAUAUUAAGUACAUGUUAUGAACAUGAUGCCUUCCAUUGUUAUAGUAUAAAUCUGAGUUCUAUAUUAAAGUUAACUUGUUGAGCACACUCAAGGUUGCUUUUCUCUCAAACAUGUUUAUGGCUAUGAAAUAUUGGAUAUUUGUGAACAAUGGGUUUUACUUAACUGAUUUACAUGAUUUGGAUGAGCACACUCAUGAUCAUGUAGAAUCAGAGGCAUAGUUUGGAGAAACAAAAAAUUAUGUUUAGACAAAUAGUUGUCACCUAACUGAUCUAGGAGUCACAUAGAGAUGUGAUUGAUAAAUAGUUAUCUACCUAAUUUAAUUUUAUUUUGAUUUGUUGAGCACACUCAAGGUCAAAUAAAAUUAAAUGGGGUCCUAGCCCACUAAGGAAAUUAAUGCGUUAAAUUUCCCGAAUUAAUGGUGAGGGCUAUUAAUUUGAGUAAAAUAGUGGGAGACCAAAUGGAUAUUAAAGACCUUAUAUUAAUUUGGUUAAUGAAAAUCAUAUACAUGAAAUUAAUACAAUUUUUAUCUUUGUAUCUGUAGAUCACUAAUAUCACCAUGAGUAACAACCAUUCCCUACGUAGCAUACCGGAUGCUAAUAAGUUAACUGGACCAAAUUUCUUGGACUGGUAUAGAAACUUGAGAAUUGUUCUCAAGCAAGAAAAGAGGCUAUAUGUCCUUGAACAUGCCAAACCCAGUAUUCCUCCUGUUGAUGCUCCUGAAGAGGUACUAAGUGAGUUCAUUCGUCAUACAGAUGAUGAUGAGCAAGCCACAUGUGUGAUGUUGGCUAGCAUGUCUCCUGAACUUCAAAGGCAGCAUGAGAAUAUGGAUUCUCGAACAAUCAUUUUGCAUCUCAAGGAGUUGUUUGAUUCAAAAUGCAGGAGUGAAAGGUAUGAGGUAUCAAGGGAAUUGUUCCGCUGUAAGAUGACAAAAGGAUCUUCGGUGAAUGUUCAUGUUCUGAAGAUGAUUGGCUAUAUUGAAAAAUUAGGCCAAUUGGGUUUUGUCAUGGAUCAUGAGUUAAGUAUUGAAUUGGUCUUACAGUCUCUACCUCCUAGCUUCUCACAGUUCAUAAUGAACUUCAACAUGAAUCAGUUGGAAACUACAUUGCCUGGACUGUUGGGGAUGCUAACUACUGCUGAAGGGGAACUUAAGAAGAACAAGUCCCCUGUUCUUAUGGUUCAAUCUUCUAAGACCAAAUCCAAAAGGUCCAAGAAAAAGAACAAUAAGAAGAAAGGGACUUUCCCUAAAGCACUCAAGCCUACUGGGGGCAUUAAAAAGGACAAAGGUACUUGCCAUCACUGUGGCAAAGAAGGUCACUGGAGGAGGAACUGUGCUGAUUAUCUUGCUGCACUGAAGGAGAAGAAGCUUAAUGAAGUUUCUACUUCAGGAACUAAGAAGACUUAGACCUUUACAGAAAGGUGAAAUGGACCUACGGGUUGGAAAUGGAGCAAGGGUUGCUGCUUUAGCCGUAGGAAUAUGUAUUUUGUCUCUGCCUACGGGCCUUUUGCUUGAACUUGAUAACUGUUAUUUUGUUCUAGUACUAACUAGAAAUAUCAUAUCUGUAUCUUGCCUAGCACUGAAUGGUUUUAAAUUUAUUAUUGAAGGCAAAUGUUGUUCCUUUUAUAAUAAUGAUAUUUUC
RNAcentral lists this unclassified non-coding RNA (2233 nucleotides) under Hevea brasiliensis (rubber tree). The record is from RNAcentral. Lineage: Eukaryota; Viridiplantae; Streptophyta; Magnoliopsida; Malpighiales; Euphorbiaceae.